Monopterus albus (swamp eel) is the source of this 8191-nucleotide long non-coding RNA. RefSeq lists it as uncharacterized. NCBI's taxonomy places the organism in Eukaryota, Metazoa, Chordata, Actinopteri, Synbranchiformes, Synbranchidae. The transcript is spliced from 3 exons. The record is from RefSeq and is a predicted model, not a curated record.
GAGGCUUGUUGACAAAUUACUUUAUUGAUAGUUACCGAAGAAGUUUUAAAAAUAUUACUGUCAGGCCGAAACAAAUACAGUCAAACACUCUGGAUCGGCUGUGUGUCAAUCUGUUUAUCCACAUGUAAUUUUAUCUUCUAUUUCAUCCAUUUACCUUGGUGCUCUCCCCUUGGUCAGGUCAGAUGGCAGUAACAUUCUGUCUAAAAACAUAUUUUAAUUUCAUCAAAACAGGGAGGACAUGGAGGGUCAGACUGAACAGAUGACUAAGAAUUUUAAUUUCCAUUAUCACUGCACGACAUGACUCCUCUGUCAAGUUUCCAACCAACCAACCAAUUAUGUCGAGCUCUACGGACCAGUUCAAACUGUUCUUAAGUCUUUUUAACAUCUCAAUAACAACCACGUGUCUGUUUGAAACGAUUUCCUGUUUUCUCUGCGAGUCAGUGAGUAAUAACCUGGAGGUGCUUGUCACACAGUGAAAUGUCACAACAGCAGCUGUGCCGCCUUCCCUCAUGAUAGUUAAUUAAUAGGUCACAUAAACAGAUGGAUGGUUGUGUUCUCAGUUCUUCACAAACUUAAAUGGCUCAUUUUCAGCACUUCACCAGUUCUGAUAGCUACAGUAUUUAUCAGUGGUGACUGAUUUUGUCUUUUGGUGCAACAACUUUAUACUGACAUACAAAUACAAUUUAAGUGACCCUGGGUGCGUUCACACCUACAGCGUUUAGUUGGAUUGAAUCGAACUAGAGUUCGUUUUCCCUCUUGGUGCGGUUCGUUUUGUCUGGUGUGAACACGGUAAUCGCACUCGAGUGCGCACCAAAACAACCGCACCGAGACCCCCAAAAUGAGGUGGUCUCGAUCCGCAUCAUCUAGCGAACUCUGGUGCGGUCCUCCUGGUGAGAACGCGUACCGAACCAAAACGGGACCAAAGGCCGUGAAUCACAUGAUUUGAGGGCAUUGGAUUAUGGGUAGAUUUUAUUUCCUGUCACCCAAAACAUGCGCAAGGAUGAAUCGUGGGCAAACUGUACGACUUUGUUUAAGUGGAAAAUGCAAGUAACGUAAUACAAAAUAACCAGGGCGAGGCCCAACCCGCGUAUGUUGACCUCCAUCCGCUCUCGUCACAGAAACGUGGACUUUCUUUAUUUACUUUUUCUGUUCUCGCGGCAGACACAUCUGACCAAUAAUCUCGCGUAGUUUUACAUGACGUGUUUUGGUGCGCUUGGAUUUUUCUGUGUGUGAAACGAAACCGAACCAAGGAGACAUUGCAACGUUUACAAACUCGUCAACUGAUUCGGACCAAAGCAAACGAAUUAAGAACAGCAUAUCGCAUCAGAGUACACUUGGCUGUGAACAUACAGUAUCAGUGGAGAAACUGGAGCAGUGUGAAACGGUGACAAACUGUUACAGCUGAUAACAUACAUCCAGUCUGCAUGAAAGAUACCGCCAAUGAGGCCAAAGCAUGAAUAAGAGCUUUGGCACAUCCUUCAAGAUGGAGAACUGGAAUGACUUCUGGGUUGAGUGAGAAUCAAGGAGCGAGGAAUGAUCAAAUAAGGUAAUUGGGAUGCACCCAAAGUAAACCUAUGUGCACCUCUAUAGAUCACAAAUAAACACAUUAUGUUGCAUUUGUUUAAUCAAAAACUAAAGUGUAAAAGUGACAGUAGUGAUUGUGGGGGUUACUGUAUGUCCCAGACUUUCUUGGCAGGGUGAAGACUGGGCGUGGUCUCUCCAGGAAGACACUAAGCCUGGCCAAAAAAAAAAAAAAAAAAACUGUCCUGCGCAGAGUCUCAUCUUUUGUUCAGAUGAGUGUGGCAUGAACUAAUUACCUAACUCUGCAAAGAAGCAAACAAGCAUACUUAAAACACUAAAUAUGUAUGAACAUGUAUUGUAAACAACCUCAUUUACUUUCUUUUUGUUUCACUUCCUUAAACAAAUUAGACUCCUCAAACAAACAAGCUGUUGAGACAGAUUUGGGCUGAUCAGACAGCUGUUACUGUAGUCUCCUACAGCUUUUAUAUGCAGAUAUUGCAAAUAGAGUUAUGUUACAACAUGAGGGUAAAAGACAAAAUAUAUCAUCUGACUGAAUAAUUUUUUCUGGGGCUAAGACAUGCAGUAUGUUGGCUGUGGGUGAACAACAAUUACAGAUUCAUUUUUCAGUCUAGGCUGUACAUGUACACAUAAAGAGAACAUCAUACAAGUCACAAAGCUAAUGUUGGCAUGAGACAAGGCACACCCGUGGAAACAUGAGCAGAGUCCUGAUUAAUUAACAUGUCAUGUAAAGGGAUAGCUCUGAGACCUCACACACGGAAAGGCCAGCUUGGGAAUAUGCCGUGAGGUGCUGGCAAAGCUGAGGACACAGACACAGAAUGAAUGGAGAGGGUUCUAUUCAACGAACUGCAAGUUCACUAAUUGUGUUAUCUACUACACACUGUACUAUUCAGAGUAUCACAUCACCAUAAAGGCUUUUACAGGCACGAACACUGGGGUGAUGAGAUAAAUAAAAAAUUCAACAUGGAUUAAAUCCUCUACGUCAGUUCCUCAGCAUCUGACCAUCUCAAAUGCCAUUUUAAAAGACAGUACUUUGUAAAUUAAAGUCUGAUUCCAUCAAAGUUAAUGUUAAUGACCUAAUUUGACCAGAAAUGUUAAAAAGACAUAAGAAAACAAACAUUUUUUGUUUGUUCAUCAUGUAAAAUGUUAGCUGAUGAGUAAUUUAAUUGUUUGAUUUAGAUUAAUUUAAAGAUCUUGGCUAAGUGUGAGAUCAGUUUUAGAUUUAGCCCCCUAGAAACAAGAAAGUAAAUCUCAAGAUCCACCUCACCACACAAAUGCAGAUGAAAGCUCUGGGAAAAGCUACUAAGUUGAUUGUAUGUUAAGGUUUCUUUGAUCCAGAUUUUAUAAAUUUUGGUUUUAGGUAAAUUUGACAAACCAACUUCAACUCUGAACUCGACAGAACAUGGCGUCACAAGCUAAAUGAAGAAAUGGAUGCUACUGCGCUGCAGCUACAACAAGAGACAAAGCUACCGUGUCUGAUUUCACCUCAUUCACCUCCUUCCACUCACGCAAAGCACACAAAACAUGAAUAAACUGGUCCACACAAGCCAGGAAAGCAGGACACACAGUGGAGUAGGCUGUGCUGACUAAUGAAAGUUAACUCUAUGGCGAGACCAGAGUCUUUUCCAGUAAUGUCACCAUGGUCAUCAUCUUAAGUUUUGAUUAACUAUUUUUUAAUAUAAAAAAUAAUAGCAAAAAAGGCAAUUUAACAAAUGGGUCAAAGAGCAACUGCACCCGGUCUAAAAAUCCUGCUUGACCUCACUUUUUUUACUGAAAUUUUUUGAACAGAGAAAACAGAGGUUACUCAGUCAGAUGUUAGAAACCUAAGUCUUCUAGCAUUCAUGCCUCUUCCUCCUCUGAAGUCAGAGGUUAAAUGUCAUUUUUUUCCCACCAAGUGAAGAACAUUGAUUAUGUUGGUACAGUUGUGAGAGGAUUCCUCUGGAGUCAGCAGUUUGUUUUUCAGAGGUUUUUUUUGUUAGUUUUUUAUUUUAUUUUAUUGCAGACAUAAAAAUCUUCAGAAGGUAUGCAUCACUCUUACUGCAGCAGGCGGGAAUAUUUCAAGAAAAAAGAAGUGAAAAAGAAAUCAAGUUGCAGGUCGAGAACUUCUGAAACUAAAUCACCUACUUCUCUGGACAGAUGAACAAAAUCAAAACAUACUGUAUGAAAUGUACCGUACAGACAUGGCUCGCUGACACUGAUCCAAGCUCCUUAACAUGUUUAUUUAAUGUUGUGCUGCUCUAGUAUCACUUCAGGUGUGAACCAAUCCACUGGUUACUAAGAAAGGAUUAUGAGAAAAUGGGCCUCAGGUCACACACAGGGAAAAGGCCGCCCACCACUCCUACAUACAGCAGGACCCAAGACUAAAAGAGAAACAGUGCUCUGCAUGCAUUUGUAAUCAUCUUGUAGCUUUUUGUGGCCAUUUUGUGUCUCUUUGUUUUCUGUCUCUGUUUUGUGUCAUUGCUGUUCGGUAAUACAUCCAUGCCAGUUGCAUACAAACAGGUCUACAUGUACAGUAUGUACAGUAUGUAAAGUACUUUAUUCAUCCAAACACACACACACACAUAAAUGCAUGCAAUGGUAGUAUUAUUAUCUCCACCAGCAAAACGCACACACACUCACUCCCUACUGACUGAGGCAAGGAGCUGAAUUCAUACUUUCUCGCUCGCUCGCUCGCUCUCACUCUCUCUCUCUCUCACGCACAACGUUUCUUGCUUGCUUUGCUUUUGCACCAAACACAGGGCCACUUGCUGUGCUGAGAUAUCUACAUGUUUAUUACUGUGUGUGUGUGUGAACUUUGUAUUACUUACACUGUGAGCACACUCACACUGUGGGGACUUGGCCUCUCGUGUGGACCAUAUCUGUGUUUUGUGCUAGCUCAGCCUCACGGUUAACUGCAAACUUACCAAGAACUGCAGUUAUUUCUGUCCAGAACCCUUCUCUCACUUUUCAUAUGCUCAUGAAGUGGAGUUACAAAACCUUUAAAUAAAAAUUAAUUUGUUAAACUAAAAUAUUUUCAGUUCAAUCAGACACACUUUCACUUCAGCUUGUGCCACCCUGAGCGAAACGUGUUCGUGUACACUUUUUCUUUACAUUGAUAUGUUACUUCUAAAGUUUACUGAGCAUUUAAUCUGAUGAUGCAUUGGUAGAAGCAACAUUUAUAGGUUGCACAGCUGCAUAUAUUGUCAGUAGAAGGAUGUGUGGAUGUGAACAGAUCCUAGUUGAAAAUGAAUACACAAAAGGCAGGAGGAAAUAAUACAACAAAGAACUGGGCUUCCUGGUUUUCAGAAAAUUAUCCCGUUAAGUAUGUGGCUACAGCUUAUGUCAGUACAUUGGCUGUGUGAGGCAAAAAAAUGAGGACAGCUAAAAUGUUGAGUGACCAAGUUUGCUCGGAUUGAGUGAGCUACAAAUUAGCUUCUUGCUCAAUCGCGUCUUAAUAAUGGGGAAAUGAUUUGCUCUAGUUUUGCUAUAUUUUUUUUUACCAUAAAUGAAAUAAAACUUUCAUGUAUAGAUGAGAUAACAUAAUUUGUUGUCUAACCAUAUGGUUCCUUUGCUAAACUGUAGGUUCAAGCUAUAUGCCACACAUUAUAGAGACCUGACAGCACUGCAAGUAACAAAAGCAAGAAUGAGACACAGUGUUUCGAGUUAAAUGCACCGGAUCAUCACUGACAACGCUAUUCUUUCAUCCACCGCUUACAUCCAAAUUCAUGUUUGUUCAUGAGUCAUGAGAGGGCAAAGAAGAACACAAAAGGUCUGAAGAAUGGGCAAGAAUUAGAAUAGAUUCAGCCUCAGCAUUGAGUCAGUGAUAUGCUGUUUCUUCUUCAGGAUGGCUAUGAUGAGGGAAUGUGAAUCUCUAUUAAAUCUGAGUCACGCUGAUGCUUUCAUGUGGCUUCUGGCUGGUUAGGAAACAAUUUGAUGUUGAACAAAGCUUCCUGUUCUUUCCCCUUCGAGGACUGUGUAAAACGAUUGACGUAGUUCAGAAUCGGUCCACACCUACUCAGCAUACAUAGUUUUUAUCUGCUCACUGAGUCUAAGUGGGAUCUGUGGCAGCGCAUCCAUUCACUACUGCAUCUUUGUCAUCGCCUUUGCAAUGUAUUUUUAUGUAGACAGUCGAGGAAUUGAUUGAAAGACGGAAGUUGAGAAAGUCAACCCACGCAACCAUGUGUUUGUGACUAAACCAAACCAAACCCUUCUCAUAUUUGAGAGUUUUAUGACAGGGUAGGGUAUAAAAUACCAGAUGGGCUAGAUUCAGCCCACUCAGGCCAUAAGAUCAGAAAGCAGCCCACUGACGCCAUGAGAUCAGGGAUAUUACGGAAACCAGAAUGGAAGUGUGUCCUCAAAAUCAUAAUGGGAUACUGCUGUAGACAGCUGCACCCUAUUUCUAGGGUUUUAAGCUUGUAAAGGUCAGAGAGAGUAGGCUUUUCUGAGAUACUACAGAAAAAUGUUUAUGGAAAUGCAUUUUAAGCAGCUGAGUAUGACUCAGAGUAAAUCUGAUGAUCUGAUGCAUCAUAUCACACAUUUCCCUUCUUGAUUAGCACAUUACAGAGACACUAUCUUCUGUGCAAUUACAUUUCCUAGUGUUUCAGCUGCCUACAUGACGGAUUCAGCUAUAGCACCAUAAAACCUAACAGAAGGCACACUAGAUGCAUCAUGACCUAAUUUCACUGACAUCACAGCUGCCUCUGGGGAGACAAAACAAGGUGACUGGAGAUGGCAGGUAGUGCGGAGACAACUCGAUCCAUCUCAGGUUGCUGUCCCAUGAAGGGGCACCACGGGCUGCUGCUGGAGCCAGACGGGACCUGGUGUGCUUCUGUCAGGUGCCUCAGGGAGUUGCCACAUGGUUGGACUCAGCAGUGAGGAGAGGGUUAUUCUAUUGUUCAUUUCACAUUCUCAAAGGUUAUUUUUUCAUGUGAUAAUUGUUUAGUUUGUUGUAUAUCAGGGACGACUUUUUAAAAUGUAUUGUAAAUGAGAUGACGUUAAUUCAAAGUUUGUGUUGGAUUAUAUGAUUUUAGUGCUAUUAAUACAUUUAUAUUACAAAUUAGACAGUUAUUGCAUCGUCUUUACUGUUUCAAGAAAUUCUAGGUUUUCUGAAACAAUUCAUGUCCCAAUCACAGUUUAUGAAUUACAGAGGAAUAAGUUUUACAUGCCUUAAGCUGUCUCAUUCAAUCCACAUGCAUUUUUCAUUUCAGUAUUUACAGUAUAAGACAAAGAUAGGAGGAAAUUCACAUCUUGGAUAUUAUCCUGUACCCUCAAGGGAUGAACGACAGAGAAUUUAUGAAUAUAAAUGUGCUCACCCAAAAGUGAUUCCCAGAUUCCAGAGUCUUCCCCCAAGUCAUCCUCUUAGUGAUGAGAUCUGAAACUUCAUAUCCACUGCAUCAGGUUAAAAAACUGUUCACCAUCACAUUCUGCAAACCUGGAAACCUCAGCUCUGUGUGUCUGAAAUGUAUAGUAAUUUUAUUAUGGGACAAAGCAUUUAAUUUUUGAAAUGAAUAAUUAGUUUGUAAUAAUGAUUACAGCUAGAAAUCUUUGAUAAAUUUAAUCACAGUCAGAAGUUAAAAGCAGCAUGUAACGUUUUCUAAGUAGCUGAAAAAUCCCCUAAACAUAUCUUAAUGUGGAGAGCUGUUGUGAAAGCUUUCUGUGACCCGGUCUCACUGAACAGCCUGGCACCAGUGUAGACAUAUCUCCUUCUAAGGUUUCUGGGGUGAGACCUUUAGGAAUGUGAGGAAAAGCCACAACAACUUUGGUAAUUAACAAAUAUUGAAUCAAAAGAGAAGAUGACAAACCAUAACUUAAAGUGUAGUUCAGUGUUGUGUCUUCAUAUUCAAGCAUACCUGGUAAGUCAACCAAUGUGGCAUAAUAUCCAUAUCCAGAGAAAUAGGUACAUUUAUUAAAAGAAUUAAAUAACGGUGAGCAUGGAAAAUAAAUAUUAGGAGAGUCUGACUAUGUGCAAGAAGGACUCAGAGAGAGACUGCCAGACUUUUUGCAAGAACCAUAAACAGCGUAGGACUCAUGCAAACAGAAACAGAGAUUUGUUUUUGAAACUGUUUUGCAAUGGAAAAUAUCCACCCAGCAGCCAGGGUGUCUGUGAGGAAAACAUUAUGAAGUUAAUGACAGUGAGUAACAUGACAUUCACAUGCAUUGCGCACACACACACACACACACAAACACAAACACAAACACCACAGAUUGAAGGUUAUACUUUAUCAACCUACUCAUUCCCCAUAUUGCUUAGCACAUUACAACACUAAACAUAAUCUAUGAAUGCUCAUCGUUGAUGUUUACAUUGUGCUUUGAUUUAGCAGCUUAUUCAAGUUUUUAAUAGAACAUUCCAAGUUACACCAUAAAGAAGAACAUAAGGAAGAAGAUGAGAAGAAAAAAGUAAAUGAGUGGCAUACAUGAACUAUACAGCUUUUUGAAUAUGUGACUGACCACCCUGAUAGGCCCCGAUAAACUGAAAGGCUGGUCACCUAUCUUUUAUUUUGUAUGGUAAGUUAUUGAUGAGUCUGGUGUGUUUAAUCUCGUGGAGUUUCUUCUAACUUUGUAAAUAAAACAUGUUUUCAUGUACAGUGGAUUCAAAGAGGAUUCAACCCAUUCACUUCUUUGCAGGAUUUCUUGUGUGAAGAUUUAAUUUAAAAUACUUGACCAGCUGCAUCAC